ACUCCUACGGGAGGCAGCAGUAGGGAAUCUUCCACAAUGGGCGCAAGCCUGAUGGAGCAACACCGCGUGAGUGAAGAAGGGUUUCGGCUCGUAAAGCUCUGUUGUUAAAGAAGAACACGUAUGAGAGUAACUGUUCAUACGUUGACGGUAUUUAACCAGAAAGUCACGGCUAACUACGUGCCAGCAGCCGCGGUAAUACGUAGGUGGCAAGCGUUAUCCGGAUUUAUUGGGCGUAAAGAGAGUGCAGGCGGUUUUCUAAGUCUGAUGUGAAAGCCUUCGGCUUAACCGGAGAAGUGCAUCGGAAACUGGAUAACUUGAGUGCAGAAGAGGGUAGUGGAACUCCAUGUGUAGCGGUGGAAUGCGUAGAUAUAUGGAAGAACACCAGUGGCGAAGGCGGCUACCUGGUCUGCAACUGACGCUGAGACUCGAAAGCAUGGGUAGCGAACAGGAUUAGAUACCCUGGUAGGAUACAC
RNAcentral lists this ribosomal RNA (473 nucleotides) under uncultured bacterium. RNAcentral's name for it is "bacterial SSU rRNA". It matches the Rfam family "Bacterial small subunit ribosomal RNA", at positions 335 to 800 of the family's 1533-position model. The record is from RNAcentral.